GGGGGAGGCACAGGAGGCUGCGAUGCAGUCGCCUGUGUCAGAAGUCGUGGUGUCUAAUCCGGGCUUGCUGAAGGAGGUCGAUCCUGGUACUAGGUUGAUCGAUGCCCUGGAAAUGAUGAAGCAGGGAGUAAGGCGCCUCCUUGUCCGUAAGAGUAUCGCAUGGAAGGGCUUUAGCAAGCGGUUUUCUGUUCUCUACCAUGGCCGAUGGCUGAAGACAGUUGACUCGUUCUCAUCCACCAGUAACCAGCUGCCUCUGUCUCCCCACCCCGACGAAAACUACUGCUGCCUUUCCCGUGAAGAUGUGGCUCGCUUCCUCAUUGGCUGCCUUGGUGCCCUUGCC
RNAcentral lists this unclassified non-coding RNA (340 nucleotides) under Hevea brasiliensis (rubber tree). Lineage: Eukaryota; Viridiplantae; Streptophyta; Magnoliopsida; Malpighiales; Euphorbiaceae. The record is from RNAcentral.